This 301-nucleotide ribosomal RNA is filed under the name uncultured bacterium. RNAcentral's name for it is "partial 16S ribosomal RNA". It matches the Rfam family "Bacterial small subunit ribosomal RNA", at positions 509 to 809 of the family's 1533-position model. The record is from RNAcentral.
CAGUAGCCACGGUAAUACAGAGGUCUCAAGCGUUGUUCGGAUUCAUUGGGCGUAAAGGGAGCGUAGGCGGUCGGGUAAGUCGGAUGUGAAAUCCUGGGGCUCAACCUCAGAACUGCAUUCGAUACUGCUUGGCUAGAGGACUGGAGAGGUGAGUGGAAUUCACGGUGUAGCAGUGAAAUGCGUAGAUAUCGUGAGGAAGACCAGCGGCGAAGGCGGCUCACUGGACAGUUUCUGACGCUGAUGCUCGAAGGCCAGGGGAGCAAACGGGAUUAGAUACCCCAGUAGUCCCUGUCUUUUAUAC